This 841-nucleotide ribosomal RNA is filed under the name uncultured bacterium. RNAcentral's name for it is "bacterial SSU rRNA". It matches the Rfam family "Bacterial small subunit ribosomal RNA", at positions 556 to 1398 of the family's 1533-position model. The record is from RNAcentral.
GGGCGUAAGCGUGCGUAGGCGGUGAGUUAAGUCUGUUGUGAAAUCCCCGGGCUCAACCUGGGAAUGGCAAUGGAUACUGGCUCGCUAGAGUGUGAUAGAGGAUGGUGGAAUUCCCGGUGUAGCGGUGAAAUGCGUAGAGAUCGGGAGGAACAUCAGUGGCGAAGGCGGCCAUCUGGAUCAACACUGACGCUGAGGCACGAAAGCGUGGGGAGCAAACAGGAUUAGAUACCCUGGUAGUCCACGCCCUAAACGAUGCGAACUGGAUGUUGGUCUCAACUCGGAGAUCAGUGUCGAAGCUAACGCGUUAAGUUCGCCGCCUGGGGAGUACGGUCGCAAGACUGAAACUCAAAGGAAUUGACGGGGGCCCGCACAAGCGGUGGAGUAUGUGGUUUAAUUCGAUGCAACGCGAAGAACCUUACCUGGCCUUGACAUGUCUGGAAUCCUGCAGAGAUGCGGGAGUGCCUUCGGGAAUCAGAACACAGGUGCUGCAUGGCUGUCGUCAGCUCGUGUCGUGAGAUGUUGGGUUAAGUCCCGCAACGAGCGCAACCCUUGUCCUUAGUUGCCAGCACGUAAUGGUGGGAACUCUAAGGAGACUGCCGGUGACAAACCGGAGGAAGGUGGGGGAUGACGUCAAGUCAUCAUGGCCCUUACGGCCAGGGCUACACACGUACUACAAUGGUCGGUACAGAGGGUUGCAAUACCGCGAGGUGGAGCCAAUCCCAGAAAGCCGAUCCCAGUCCGGAUCGUAGUCUGCAACUCGACUACGUGAAGUCGGAAUCGCUAGUAAUCGCGGAUCAGCUAUGCGCGGUGAUACGUUCCCGGGCUUGCACUCACGCCCGUC